UACGUAGGUGGCAAGCGUUGUCCGGAUUUAUUGGGUUUAAAGGGUGCGUAGGCGGCUUUGUAAGUCAGUGGUGAAAUAUGGCAGCUCAACUGUCAAGGUGCCAUUGAUACUGCAAAGCUUGAGUACAGAUGAGGUAGGCGGAAUUGACGGUGUAGCGGUGAAAUGCUUAGAUAUCGUCAAGAACACCUAUAGCGAAGGCAGCUUACUAGGCUGUAACUGACGCUGAGGCACGAAAGUGUGGGGAUCAAACAGG
This 253-nucleotide ribosomal RNA is filed under the name uncultured bacterium. Its description in RNAcentral is "partial 16S ribosomal RNA". It matches the Rfam family "Bacterial small subunit ribosomal RNA", at positions 524 to 776 of the family's 1533-position model. The record is from RNAcentral.